GAACUGGUCUCGCCAUAUGGCGGCCAUUA
This 29-nucleotide small RNA is filed under the name Bombyx mori (domestic silkworm). RNAcentral's name for it is "ovarian small RNA-5018". Lineage: Eukaryota; Metazoa; Arthropoda; Insecta; Lepidoptera; Bombycidae. The record is from RNAcentral.